This 255-nucleotide ribosomal RNA is filed under the name uncultured bacterium. RNAcentral's name for it is "partial 16S ribosomal RNA". It matches the Rfam family "Bacterial small subunit ribosomal RNA", at positions 524 to 777 of the family's 1533-position model. The record is from RNAcentral.
UACAGAGGUCUCAAGCGUUGUUCGGAUUCAUUGGGCGUAAAGGGUGCGUAGGUGGCAUGGUAAGUCGGAUGUGAAAUCUCAGGGCUCAACCCUGAAACUGCAUUCGAUACUGCGUGGCUAGAGUGCUGGAGAGGAGACUGGAAUUUACGGUGUAGCAGUGAAAUGCGUAGAUAUCGUAAGGAAGACCAGUGGCGAAGGCGAGUCUCUGGACAGCAACUGACGCUGAGGCACGAAGGCCAGGGGGAGCAAACGGGG